GGUAUGCAAUAAAUGAAAAUACAACCAUGUUAGAGUUACAACUUAAAUUGAUUAACCUGAUUAAACUCAACAUGAUUUGUUCUCUGAGUUUGUUCAUAGCGCUAUUCUUGUAAACUCGGUCUUAACCGAGUAAGCUAGAAAUACUUCGUUUAUUAUUCUUGAUAUAUUAUAAAGAUGAAUAGCCUUUCUAAUGGUUAAGUAACUUUACUCUUUAUUUCACAAGUUUAAAUAUCAUAUUUAUACUUCUGGUCCUCUCACCC
Molecule: long non-coding RNA, 260 nt
Filed under: Sorghum bicolor (sorghum)
Lineage: Eukaryota; Viridiplantae; Streptophyta; Magnoliopsida; Poales; Poaceae
Description: long non-coding RNA (SBIC_LNC007377)
Source: RNAcentral